UACGUAGGGUGCAAGCGUUAAUCGGAAUUACUGGGCGUAAAGCGUGCGCAGGCGGUUUUGUAAGUUUGUCGUGAAAUCCCCGGGCUCAACCUGGGAAUGGCGAUGAAGACUGCAAGGCUAGAAUCUGGCAGAGGGGGGUAGAAUUCCACGUGUAGCAGUGAAAUGCGUAGAGAUGUGGAGGAACACCGAUGGCGAAGGCAGCCCCCUGGGUCAAGAUUGACGCUCAUGCACGAA
This 234-nucleotide ribosomal RNA is filed under the name uncultured bacterium. RNAcentral's name for it is "partial 16S ribosomal RNA". It matches the Rfam family "Bacterial small subunit ribosomal RNA", at positions 524 to 757 of the family's 1533-position model. The record is from RNAcentral.